RNAcentral lists this ribosomal RNA (253 nucleotides) under uncultured bacterium. RNAcentral describes it as "partial 16S ribosomal RNA". It matches the Rfam family "Bacterial small subunit ribosomal RNA", at positions 524 to 776 of the family's 1533-position model. The record is from RNAcentral.
UACAGAGGUGGCAAGCGUUGUUCGGAAUUACUGGGCGUAAAGGGCGCGUAGGCGGCCAUCUAAGUCAGACGUGAAAUCCCCCGGCUUAACCUGGGAACUGCGUCUGAUACUGGACGGCUUGAGUAUGGGAGAGGGAUGUAGAAUUCCAGGUGUAGCGGUGAAAUGCGUAGAUAUCUGGAGGAAUACCGGUGGCGAAGGCGGCAUCCUGGACCAUUACUGACGCUGAGGCGCGAAAGCUAGGGGAGCAAAUGGG